RNAcentral lists this non-coding RNA (433 nucleotides) under Caenorhabditis brenneri. RNAcentral describes it as "Eukaryotic large subunit ribosomal RNA". It matches the Rfam family "Eukaryotic large subunit ribosomal RNA", at positions 24 to 462 of the family's 3401-position model. Lineage: Eukaryota; Metazoa; Nematoda; Chromadorea; Rhabditida; Rhabditidae. The record is from Rfam by way of RNAcentral.
CCCGCUUCACUUAAGUAUAUCAGAUAGCGGAGGAAUAGGAUCUCAUAGGGAUUCCAUUCGUAACGGAGAGUAAAGCGGGAAGAGCCCAGCGCCGAAUAGUUCAGACAUUGCAUAAUACGAAAUGUGGCGUAUAGGAUCAGUCUUCCAGCAGUAUCGUUUGUCUGAAUUCCUUACGAUUGAGGCCAUAAACCAGAGAGAGUGCGAGCCCCGAUUAGGUUAAAAAUGGUGUCAUUUUGUACAAUCCUGGUCGUUUGAUCAUUUAAAAGUCAUUUGAAGAGUGGAAAUUUGAUAAAACGCUCGCAGUUCAAAAAGUGAAAAUAUACAUGGAAUUACAUGGAAUUGGGAAAAUUUUUGAAAAAAAGUGAAAUAAGUCUCGUAACUCGAGCCCAGCCUAUAUUUUUUAUGUUGUAUAUCGACACUAUUUGGGACUAGC